RNAcentral lists this ribosomal RNA (990 nucleotides) under uncultured Campylobacterota bacterium. Its description in RNAcentral is "bacterial SSU rRNA". It matches the Rfam family "Bacterial small subunit ribosomal RNA", at positions 505 to 1501 of the family's 1533-position model. The record is from RNAcentral. Lineage: Bacteria; Pseudomonadati; Campylobacterota.
GUGCCAGCCGCCGCGGUAAUACGGAGGGUGCAAGCGUUACUCGGAAUCACUGGGCGUAAAGCGCGCGCAGGCGGUCUUUUAAGUUGGAUGUGAAAGCCUACGGCUCAACCGUAGAACUGCAUCCAAAACUAUUAGACUAGAGUGUGGGAGAGGAAGAUGGAAUUAGUUGUGUAGGGGUAAAAUCCGUAGAGAUAACUAGGAAUACCAAAAGCGAAGGCAAUCUUCUGGAACACUACUGACGCUGAGGCGCGAAAGCGUGGGGAGCAAACAGGAUUAGAUACCCUGGUAGUCCACGCAGUAAACGAUGAAUGUUAGUCGUCGGGGGCCUAGUGUCUUCGGUGAUGCAGCUAACGCAUUAAACAUUCCGCCUGGGGAGUACGGUCGCAAGAUUAAAACUCAAAGGAAUAGACGGGGACCCGCACAAGUGGUGGAGCAUGUGGUUUAAUUCGAAGAUACGCGAAGAACCUUACCUAGCCUUGACAUAUUUAAGAACUCCGUAGAGAUACAGAGGUGCCUUCGGGAGCUUUCUUACAGGUGCUGCACGGCUGUCGUCAGCUCGUGUCGUGAGAUGUUGGGUUAAGUCCCGCAACGAGCGCAACCCUCGUCACUAGUUACUAACGGUUCGGCCGAGGACUCUAGUGAGACUGCCUUCGUAAGGAGGAGGAAGGUGAGGACGACGUCAAGUCAUCAUGGCCCUUACGGCUAGGGCAACACACGUGCUACAAUGGUUGGGACAGUGAGAAGCGAUACCGCGAGGUGGAGCAAAUCUAUAAACCCAAUCUCAGUUCGGAUUGUAGUCUGCAACUCGACUACAUGAAGCUGGAAUCACUAGUAAUCGUAGAUCAGCUAUGCUACGGUGAAUACGUUCCCGGGUCUUGUACUCACCGCCCGUCACACCAUGGGAGUUGAUUUCACCCGAAGCGGGGAAGCUAAACUGGCUACCCUCCACGGUGGAAUUAGCGACUGGGGUGAAGUCGUAACAAGGUAACC